AAUAUUGCGCAAUGGGGGAAACCCUGACGCAGCGACGCCGCGUGAAGGAAGAAGGUUUUCGGAUUGUAAACUUCUAUCAGCAGGGAAGAUGAUGACAGUACCUGACUAAGAAGCCCCGGCUAACUACGUGCCAGCAGCCGCGGUAAUACGUAGGGGGCCAGCGUUAUCCGGCUUUACGGGGGGUAAAGGGAGCGUAGGUGGUUCGGCAAGUCCGAUGUGGAAGGCCGGGGCUCAACCCCGGGACUGCAUUUUAAACUGUCGGACUAGGGUGCAGGGGAGGUAAGUGGAAUUCCUAGUGUAGCGGUGAAAUGCGUAGAUAUUAGGAGGAACACCAGUGGCGAAGGCGGCUUACUGGACUGUAACUGACACUGAGGCUCGAAAGCGUGGGGAGCAAACAGG
This 399-nucleotide ribosomal RNA is filed under the name uncultured bacterium. Its description in RNAcentral is "partial 16S ribosomal RNA". It matches the Rfam family "Bacterial small subunit ribosomal RNA", at positions 360 to 776 of the family's 1533-position model. The record is from RNAcentral.